This 814-nucleotide ribosomal RNA is filed under the name uncultured bacterium. Its description in RNAcentral is "bacterial SSU rRNA". It matches the Rfam family "Bacterial small subunit ribosomal RNA", at positions 52 to 886 of the family's 1533-position model. The record is from RNAcentral.
CACAUGCAAGUCGAACGAUGAAGCCUAGCUUGCUAGGUGGAUUAGUGGCGCACGGGUGAGUAAUAUAUAGAUAACGUGCCUCUUAGUCUGGGAUAGCCAUUGGAAACGAUGAUUAAUACUGGAUACUCCUUCUCUUUAUAAUAAGAGUUGGGAAAGUUUUUCGCUAAGAGAUCGGUCUAUAUCCCAUCAGCUUGUUGGUAGUGUAAGAGACUACCAAGGCAAUGACGGGUAGCGGGUUUGAGAGGAUGAUCCGCCACACUGGUACUGAGACACGGACCAGACUCCUACGGGAGGCAGCAGUGAGGAAUAUUGCACAAUGGAGGAAACUCUGAUGCAGCAACGCCGCGUGGAGGAUGACGCAUUUCGGUGUGUAAACUCCUUUUAUAGGUCAAGAAAAUGACGGUAGCCUAUGAAUAAGCACCGGCUAACUCCGUGCCAGCAGCCGCGGUAAUACGGAGGGUGCAAGCGUUAUUCGGAAUCACUGGGCGUAAAGGACACGUAGGCGGGAAGCCAAGUCUGAUGUGAAAUCCUACAGCUUAACUGUAGAACUGCAUUGGAAACUGGUUACCUAGAGUAUGGGAGGGGGAGAUGGAAUUAGUGGUGUAGGGGUAAAAUCCGUAGAUAUCACUAGGAAUACCUAAAGCGAAGGCGAUCUCCUGGAACAUUACUGACGCUAAGGUGUGAAAGCGUGGGGAGCAAACGGGAUUAGAUACCCCGGUAGUCCACGCCCUAAACGAUGUUCACUAGUCGUCGGGAUGCUAGUCAUCUCGGUGAUGCACUUAACAGAUUAAGUGAACCGCCUGGGGAGUACGGU